UGCAUGUGUAAGUAUAAAUAAUUCUACUUUGAAACUGCGAAUGGCUCAUUAUAUCAGUUAUAGUUUAUUAGAAAAAAUGUACUACUUGGAUAACCGUAGUAAUUCUAGGGCUAAUACAUGAAUGAAUCCUCGACUUUGAAGAGGUGUGUUUAUUAGUAUGAAAACCAUAUGCUUCGGCAUAAUAGUGAGUAAUAAUAACCUUUCGUAUCGUAUGUUGAAAUAACGAUAGUUCUUUCAAGUUUCUGCCCUAUCAGCUUUCGAUGGUAGUGUAUUGGACUACCAUGGCAGUAACGGGUAACGAAGAAUUUGGGUUCGAUUUCGGAGAGGGAGCCUGAGAGAUGGCUACCACAUCCAAGGAAGGCAGCAGGCGCGUAAAUUACCCAAUCCUGACAGAGGGAGGUAGUGACAAUAAAUCACAAUGCGGGACUAUUUAGUUUUGCAAUUGGAUUGAGAACAAUGUACAAGAGUUAUCGAUAAACAAUUGGAGGGCAAGUCUGGUGCCAGCAGCCGCGGUAAUUCCAGCUCCAAUAGCGUAUAU
RNAcentral lists this ribosomal RNA (538 nucleotides) under Blastocystis sp. RNAcentral's name for it is "SSU rRNA". It matches the Rfam family "Eukaryotic small subunit ribosomal RNA", at positions 52 to 604 of the family's 1831-position model. Lineage: Eukaryota; Bigyra; Opalinata; Blastocystidae. The record is from RNAcentral.